UAGGAAAGCGCCUAGAGUUUCUCCAUAA
This 28-nucleotide non-coding RNA is filed under the name Mus musculus (house mouse). Lineage: Eukaryota; Metazoa; Chordata; Mammalia; Rodentia; Muridae. The record is from RNAcentral.